Molecule: long non-coding RNA, 451 nt
Filed under: Astyanax mexicanus (Mexican tetra)
Lineage: Eukaryota; Metazoa; Chordata; Actinopteri; Characiformes; Acestrorhamphidae
Description: lncRNA (ENSAMXG00005021712.1)
Source: RNAcentral
UCCAGAAAUGUCGGCAAUUCCUCAGUGGGAAGUUGGUGGUUUGUGUGCAGGGGGGUGUUAGGAAAGGAGCCAGGAGAAACUAAAGGAAGCUGAGUUAAGAACGAGAGCAGAGAUUAUCCAUUGCUCUGUUUUUGCAGUAAGCGAGGUGCCAAUGGAUAUUAACAACAUCAACAACAAGCCAUAACCAUGCAGCAGAAUCUAAUUGCAGGCCUACAGUGCACAGCCGUCUAUUACAGUGAACACUCCUAUUGCUUCCUGGUACCUUCCAGUGAAUGGCUUCAACACUGAGACCAUGAACCGUGGCCAAUUUUUUCCUUUCUUCUUAGACUAUAACUUUGGUAAACCCUUCUGUUGCUUUCUGGUACCAUCUAGUGGAUGGUAUGAACACUGCAGCUGCUUUGUUCUCCAGCACAAACAAGCUUCUCGCACUGCAGUGCAUCCAGAAACAUCU